Ananas comosus (pineapple) is the source of this 480-nucleotide long non-coding RNA. RefSeq lists it as uncharacterized. The transcript has 2 exons. Lineage: Eukaryota; Viridiplantae; Streptophyta; Magnoliopsida; Poales; Bromeliaceae. The record is from RefSeq and is a predicted model, not a curated record.
AGUUAAAAUUGCAUUAAAGAAAGUGAAAUUGCAUUGAAAUAGGUUUUUUAUAAAAACUGACCCCGAUAAUGCACUUUUGCAGGAUUGAAGCCCUAAUGUGAAAUUGACCGCGUACAAACCUAAUUGAGGGUAAAGGAAACGCGCUGGCGAAGUCGGUUCGGCAAUCCGACGAACCUACGCGAAGAUAUCGCCAAAAGAGUAUUUUCGACUAUAAUUGUCGGGAGCGCGGGUCGCGAUUCUCGGGAAAGUACUAAAAGCGGAUUUCUCUCAUUCCAGAAUCAAGUAAAGGUUGCACGCGAGCGGCGCGGCGGCGCGAGGACAGGGCGUAGCUCCGUAGAUAGCGCCCCACCACUGAGACCGAGAUAGCAAUACCCUGAAGAGGUCAAGCUCAGCGUAUCAGUAUGAAUGAAACAAAAUUGUAGUAAAAGUGUAUAAGUUGUAAUAAUUUAAAGGCUUAUGUAAUAUUGUAAAAGUAAAAAA